Non-coding RNA from Globicephala melas (long-finned pilot whale), 72 nucleotides. Lineage: Eukaryota; Metazoa; Chordata; Mammalia; Artiodactyla; Delphinidae. The record is from the annotation of a RefSeq genome assembly.
GGGGGUGUAGCUCAGUGGUAGAGUGUGUGCUUAGCAUGCACAAGGCCCCAGGUUCGAUCCCUGGCACCUCCA